UACUGACUAUAAAGAUGUAAUCAUUUGUGCGAGAGGGUGUGUUUGGAGUGUAUAUAUACUGGUCUGGUCUCAUUUCACUCACUAAACAAAUAACCCUUGACCGAGGAACUUCUUCUGAUUUCAUCUAAGGAUUUAAAGAAUGGUUCAGGGUGUGAAGACACUGAUGCUUCUCUGCAUGCUCAUUGGAUGCUCACAGGCUUUCCCUUCCCUUGGUGCAGCUGAAGAUGCUGGCAGUACAGAAAGACGAGAUACUAUUUGGCAUGUCUUGGAUGUUACUCCACCAGUGUGCCGUGUGUUAAAUGAGAGUUUGUUUUGUCCUUUAUUUUGUGGAAAUGCAACUUGGCAAGUGAGUUAUAUCUUGUCAGAUGGCAGUGGCUCAGGAAUCGAUCAUCCUUCCUUCAUCACCACGGGAUCUGGUGAAAUUAAUAUUACACUUGAUAUAACUAAAGACGAAAAUGGAUACAAUGCAACCCUUGUCUCAUACAGUGGCUCCUGCUGCCUCAGAAAUGUGGAGAUUACGGUGACGGACAAGGCAGGAAACAAAGGGGAAUGUCCCUUUAAUAUGCAUUACCCUUUAACCACAGUCAUUCCAAUGACUACAUCCAGCUCCGUCACAACCAUCUCUGUUGGGUCAAGUUUAUUACUGUUGCCAUUAAAAUCUAUGCUGCUGUAAGAUAUACAGUACAGACACGCUUUUAAACUCCACAAAUUUCAAUUAAAUAAUGCAAUUGGUUACGUUGAUGACUUUCAUAUUUAUAUAAGUUUUUAUUGUGUAGCUAGAAAUAACACAGAUGUCUAACUACACA
Long non-coding RNA from Triplophysa rosa, 806 nucleotides. RefSeq lists it as uncharacterized. The transcript is spliced from 3 exons. NCBI's taxonomy places the organism in Eukaryota, Metazoa, Chordata, Actinopteri, Cypriniformes, Nemacheilidae. The record is from RefSeq and is a predicted model, not a curated record.